AGAGUAUAGCUCAGUGGUAGAGAGCAUGCUUAGCAUGCAUGAGGUCCUGGGUUCAAUCCCCAGUACCUCUA
This 71-nucleotide transfer RNA is filed under the name Camelus bactrianus (Bactrian camel). It matches the Rfam family "tRNA". From Rfam's summary of the family: Transfer RNA (tRNA) molecules are approximately 80 nucleotides in length. Their secondary structure includes four short double-helical elements and three loops (D, anti-codon, and T loops). Further hydrogen bonds mediate the characteristic L-shaped molecular structure. tRNAs have two regions of fundamental functional importance: the anti-codon, which is responsible for specific mRNA codon recognition, and the 3' end, to which the tRNAs corresponding amino acid is attached (by aminoacyl-tRNA synthetases). tRNAs cope with the degeneracy of the genetic code in two manners: having more than one tRNA (with a specific anti-codon) for a particular amino acid; and 'wobble' base-pairing, i.e. permitting non-standard base-pairing at the 3rd anti-codon position. The record is from Rfam by way of RNAcentral. Lineage: Eukaryota; Metazoa; Chordata; Mammalia; Artiodactyla; Camelidae. RNAcentral also lists the same sequence under 1 other name.